This 1176-nucleotide ribosomal RNA is filed under the name Sesame phyllody phytoplasma. RNAcentral describes it as "bacterial SSU rRNA". It matches the Rfam family "Bacterial small subunit ribosomal RNA", at positions 173 to 1373 of the family's 1533-position model. The record is from RNAcentral. Lineage: Bacteria; Bacillati; Mycoplasmatota; Mollicutes; Acholeplasmatales; Acholeplasmataceae.
CCUUUUAAAAGACCUAGUAAUAGGUAUGCUUUAGGAGGGGCUUGCGCCAUAUUAGUUAGUUGGUAGGGUAAUGGCCUACCAAGACGAUGAUGUGUAGCUGGACUGAGAGGUUGAACAGCCACAUUGGGACUGAGACACGGCCCAAACUCCUACGGGAGGCAGCAGUAGGGAAUUUUCGGCAAUGGAGGAAACUCUGACCGAGCAACGCCGCGUGAAUGACGAAGUACUUCGGUAUGUAAAGUUCUUUUAUCAAGGAAGAAAAGCAAAUGGCGAACCAUUUGUUUGCCGGUACUUGAUGAAUAAGCCCCGGCUAAUUAUGUGCCAGCAGCCGCGGUAAGACAUAAGGGGCAAGUGUUAUCCGGAAUUAUUGGGCGUAAAGGGUGCGUAGGCGGUCUAGUAAGUCAGUGGUGUAAUGGCAACGCUUAACGUUGUCCGGCUAUUGAAACUGCUAAACUUGAGUUAGAUAGAGGCGAGUGGAAUUCCAUGUGUAGCGGUAAAAUGCGUAAAUAUAUGGAGGAACACCAGAGGCGUAGGCGGCUCGCUGGGUCUUAACUGACGCUGAGGCACGAAAGCGUGGGGAGCAAACAGGAUUAGAUACCCUGGUAGUCCACGCCGUAAACGAUGAGUACUAAGUGUCGGGUUAAACCGGUACUGAAGUUAACACAUUAAGUACUCCGCCUGAGUAGUACGUACGCAAGUAUGAAACUUAAAGGAAUUGACGGGACUCCGCACAAGCGGUGGAUCAUGUUGUUUAAUUCGAAGAUACCCGAAAAACCUUACCAGGUCUUGACAUGUUUUUGCAAAAUGAUAGUAAUAUCGUGGAGGUUACCAGAAACACAGGUGGUGCAUGGUUGUCGUCAGCUCGUGUCGUGAGAUGUUAGGUUAAGUCCUAAAACGAGCGAAACCCUUAUCGUUAGUUGCCAGCACGUUAUGGUGGGGACUUUAACGAGACUGCCAAUGAUAAAUUGGAGGAAGGUGAGGAUCACGUCAAAUCAGCAUGCCCCUUAUGACCUGGGCUACAAACGUGAUACAAUGGCUGUUACAAAGGGUAGCUGAAACGCAAGUUCUUGGCCAAUCCCCAAAAACAGUCCCAGUCCGGAUUGAAGUCUGCAACUCGACUUCAUGAAGUUGGAAUCGCUAGUAAUCGCGAAUCAGCAUGUCGCGGUGAAUACGUUC